RNAcentral lists this ribosomal RNA (788 nucleotides) under uncultured bacterium. RNAcentral's name for it is "bacterial SSU rRNA". It matches the Rfam family "Bacterial small subunit ribosomal RNA", at positions 8 to 796 of the family's 1533-position model. The record is from RNAcentral.
AGAGUUUGAUCCUGGCUCAGGAUGAACGCUAGCGGGAGGCCUAACACAUGCAAGCCGAGCGGUAUUUGUCUUUCGGGACAGAGAGAGCGGCGUACGGGUGCGGAACACGUGUGCAACCUGCCUUUAUCUGGGGGAUAGCCUUUCGAAAGGAAGAUUAAUACCCCAUAAUAUAUAGACUGGCAUCAGUUUAUAUUGAAAACUCCGGUGGAUAGAGAUGGGCACGCGCAAGAUUAGAUAGUUGGUGAGGUAACGGCUCACCAAGUCAGUGAUCUUUAGGGGGCCUGAGAGGGUGAUCCCCCACACUGGUACUGAGACACGGACCAGACUCCUACGGGAGGCAGCAGUGAGGAAUAUUGGACAAUGGGUGAGAGCCUGAUCCAGCCAUCCCGCGUGAAGGACUAAGGCCCUAUGGGUUGUAAACUUCUUUUAUACUGGGAUAAACCUACUUACGUGUAAGUAGCUGAAGGUACAGUAUGAAUAAGCACCGGCUAACUCCGUGCCAGCAGCCGCGGUAAUACGGAGGGUGCAAGCGUUAUCCGGAUUUAUUGGGUUUAAAGGGUCCGUAGGCGGAUCUGUAAGUCAGUGGUGAAAUCUCAUAGCUUAACUAUGAAACUGCCAUUGAUACUGCAGGUCUUGAGUGAGAUUGAGGUAGCUGGAAUAAGUAGUGUAGCGGUGAAAUGCAUAGAUAUUACUUAGAACACCAAUUGCGAAGGCAGGUUACCAAGUCUUAACUGACGCUGAUGGACGAAAGCGUGGGGAGCGAACAGGAUUAGAUACCCUGGUAGUCC